RNAcentral lists this ribosomal RNA (380 nucleotides) under uncultured eukaryote. RNAcentral's name for it is "partial 18S ribosomal RNA". It matches the Rfam family "Eukaryotic small subunit ribosomal RNA", at positions 592 to 976 of the family's 1831-position model. The record is from RNAcentral.
CAAUAGCGUAUAUUAAAGUUGUUGCGGUUAAAAAGCUCGUAGUUGGAUUUCUGCCGAGGACGACCGGUCCGCCCUCUGGGUGAGCAUCUGGCUCGGCCUGGGCAUCUUCUUGGAGAACGUAUCUGCACUUGACUGUGUGGUGCGGUAUUCAGGACUUUUACUUUGAGGAAAUUAGAGUGUUUCAAGCAGGCACACGCCUUGAAUACAUUAGCAUGGAAUAAUAAGAUAGGACCUCGGUUCUAUUUUGUUGGUUUCUAGAUCUGAGGUAAUGAUUAAUAGGGAUAGUUGGGGGCAUUCGUAUUUAACUGUCAGAGGUGAAAUUCUUGGAUUUGUCAAAGACGGACUACUGCGAAAGCAUUUGCCAAGGAUGUUUUCAUUGA